Long non-coding RNA from Haliaeetus leucocephalus (bald eagle), 628 nucleotides. RefSeq lists it as uncharacterized. The transcript is spliced from 3 exons. NCBI's taxonomy places the organism in Eukaryota, Metazoa, Chordata, Aves, Accipitriformes, Accipitridae. The record is from RefSeq and is a predicted model, not a curated record.
CGGCGGAGCGCGAGGGGAGCUGCUUCCGUGUCCGCCCGGUCCCGCGGCGCCUGCGAAACGACAUCCCUGGGUGGUCAGACAGCCGUGGUCAAGAAUGUGGACAUGCCUAAAGAAAUGCAGCAAGAUGUUGUGGAGUGUGUCAUUCAGUCUCUGGAGGAACACAACGUCAAGCAUGAUACUGCAGCUCAUAUAAAAAGAUAAGCGUUUGCUCAUAAUGUCUUCCUACUGAAUGCUAUAUGGACUUCAAAAAUUAAGCAAAAAUGUUGGUGGGAGUUUGACAGAAAAUAUAAUCCUACCUGGCAGUGCACUGUGGGAAGGAAUUUUGUGACUCAGAAGACCAGUCACUUCAUCCUCGUAUGCCUGGGUCCUGUUACUGUUCUCAUCAAGGGUGCUUAGAGCUAUGGACUGUUUCUCAAACUCUCAUCUCAUUAGUCAAUUGUGUGCUAAUGGCACAAGCCUGGUGCCUUCAGCCUUCCUGAGGGAGCACAGCUUGGCCUUGAAGGGUAAUGGCAGGGAUUUUGCUGGCAUGGUUGAUGUUUUUUAUUGUAGUUGGGGGAAAAAUAGCAAAAAACAAAACCAAAAACCUUCCUUGUAUUUAUUUUCUUUCCACAGCCAGCUUCUUUGCUAA